AUAAUGGGUCAGCGACUUAUAUUCUGUAGCAAGGUUAACCGAAUAGGGGAGCCGAAGGGAAACCGAGUCUUAACUGGGCGUUAAGUUGCAGGGUAUAGACCCGAAACCCGGUGAUCUAGCCAUGGGCAGGUUGAAGGUUGGGUAACACUAACUGGAGGACCGAACCGACUAAUGUUGAAAAAUUAGCGGAUGACUUGUGGCUGGGGGUGAAAGGCCAAUCAAACCGGGAGAUAGCUGGUUCUCCCCGAAAGCUAUUUAGGUAGCGCCUCGUGAAUUCAUCUCCGGGGGUAGAGCACUGUUUCGGCAAGGGGGUCAUCCCGACUUACCAACCCGAUGCAAACUGCGAAUACCGGAGAAUGUUAUCACGGGAGACACACGGCGGGUGCUAACGUCCGUCGUGAAGAGGGAAACAACCCAGACCGCCAGCUAAGGUCCCAAAGUCAUGGUUAAGUGGGAAACGAUGUGGGAAGGCCCAGACAGCCAGGAUGUUGGCUUAGAAGCAGCCAUCAUUUAAAGAAAGCGUAAUAGCUCACUGGUCGAGUCGGCCUGCGCGGAAGAUGUAACGGGGCUAAACCAUGCACCGAAGCUGCGGCAGCGACGCUUAUGCGUUGUUGGGUAGGGGAGCGUUCUGUAAGCCUGCGAAGGUGUGCUGUGAGGCAUGCUGGAGGUAUCAGAAGUGCGAAUGCUGACAUAAGUAACGAUAAAGCGGGUGAAAAGCCCGCUCGCCGGAAGACCAAGGGUUCCUGUCCAACGUUAAUCGGGGCAGGGUGAGUCGACCCCUAAGGCGAGGCCGAAAGGCGUAGUCGAUGGGAAACAGGUUAAUAUUCCUGUACUUGGUGUUACUGCGAAGGGGGGACGGAGAAGGCUAUGUUGGCCGGGCGACGGUUGUCCCGGUUUAAGCGUGUAGGCUGGUUUUCCAGGCAAAUCCGGAAAACUAAGGCUGAGGCGUGAUGACGAGGCACUACGGUGCUGAAGCAACAAAUGCCCUGCUUCCAGGAAAAGCCUCUAAGCAUCAGGUAACAUCAAAUCGUACCCCAAACCGACACAGGUGGUCAGGUAGAGAAUACCAAGGCGCUUGAGAGAAC
Molecule: ribosomal RNA, 1085 nt
Filed under: Escherichia coli
Lineage: Bacteria; Pseudomonadati; Pseudomonadota; Gammaproteobacteria; Enterobacterales; Enterobacteriaceae
Description: partial 23S ribosomal RNA
Rfam family: Bacterial large subunit ribosomal RNA
Source: RNAcentral